This 479-nucleotide ribosomal RNA is filed under the name uncultured bacterium. RNAcentral's name for it is "partial 16S ribosomal RNA". It matches the Rfam family "Bacterial small subunit ribosomal RNA", at positions 28 to 507 of the family's 1533-position model. The record is from RNAcentral.
GAUGAACGCUAGCGGGAGGCCUAACACAUGCAAGCCGAGCGGUAUUUGUUCUUCGGAACAGAGAGAGCGGCGCACGGGUGCGGAACACGUGUGCAACCUGCCUUUAUCUGGGGGAUAGCCUUUCGAAAGGAAGAUUAAUACCCCAUAAUAUAUUGAGUGGCAUCAUUUGGUAUUGAAAACUCCGGUGGAUAGAGAUGGGCACGCGCAAGAUUAGAUAGUUGGUGAGGUAACGGCUCACCAAGUCAAUGAUCUUUAGGGGGCCUGAGAGGGUGAUCCCCCACACUGGUACUGAGACACGGACCAGACUCCUACGGGAGGCAGCAGUGAGGAAUAUUGGACAAUGGGUUAGCGCCUGAUCCAGCCAUCCCGCGUGAAGGACGACGGCCCUAUGGGUUGUAAACUUCUUUUGUAUAGGGAUAAACCUACUCUCGUGAGAGUAGCUGAAGGUACUAUACGAAUAAGCACCGGCUAACUCCGUG